AGGGCGGCCCCGCACCGGGCUCCCCGCGGAGGGGCGCCCCCGGCUGGCCGCGCAGUGGAGAGACGCUGCAGAGAAGCUGGGAGGGAAGCACUAACGCGCGUCUCGCCCAGGAGAGCGGUCGGUGGGCUCGAAUUGGACAUUCCCAGCGCCUCGCUGGUCCCAUGGAAAUGGAGAAAUAGCUUCGGGAAGUACACGGUCUCUCACUGUUGUGGCCUCUCCCAUUGCGGAGCACAGGCUCCAGACGCGCAGGCUUCAGUGGCCAUGGCUCACGGGCCUAGCAGCUCCGUGGCACGUGGGAUCUUCCCGGACUGGGGCACGAACCCGUGUCCCCUGCAUCGGCAGGCGGACUCUCAACCACUGUGCCACCAGGAAAGCCCAUGUGAGCUGUUUUAUAGGUACUGAAACCCCCACCAGGUAGAAGUUAACUACAUGAUGACCAGACUGUAGCCAUGACAGAAGCUGCCACAAUUCUGAGAAUUGGCCUCAUGGAAAUGGGAACAAACUGACCCUGGAACUGAAGAUUAACUGUACUUAGAACAAUCAAGAUGAUGCUGGUCAGACCACCAAGGACCAAUUUCAAGAUGACCAUCAGAGCUGACUGUGCUGUCUCUGCAUGUAGCCCCCUCCCUCCGUCUAUAAAAGCUCUUGCCCACUGCUUGUCAGUGGAGGGGAGUCGGCCUUUGGACAGGAGUCUGCCCUUCCCCUUCCCCAGACCCCGCCAUUGCCAGCCUCAGAAAUAAAGCAAACUUUCCUUUC
Lagenorhynchus albirostris (white-beaked dolphin) is the source of this 756-nucleotide long non-coding RNA. RefSeq lists it as uncharacterized. NCBI's taxonomy places the organism in Eukaryota, Metazoa, Chordata, Mammalia, Artiodactyla, Delphinidae. The transcript has 2 exons. The record is from RefSeq and is a predicted model, not a curated record.